UCUUCUUCUCCUCCACCCGCGCGACGACCAACGGCGAUUCCGACCUCUUCAGAUCGAUUCCGGCCGGCGAACUAGUCCGACCUUCUUCAUUGCGCCAUCGCAGACGUGCUGGUGGUCGUAGCUUGCUCUAUCGCCAUUGGAAAAGAGAGAAUCGAAGGCUUGAAGCAUUAAUAGUUAUGGGUUUCCUUCCGGCGAAUUCACAGCGUUUUCCGGCGUCUCUAACCACGUUGCUUUCUUCCUAGUAUCGAAACUCAUCUUCCCUUCGUAAUUUUCGGUGCGUGGCUUAUAGUUUUCGGAUUUUGUUGAAUCUUGAUAAAUUCCAAUUUCUGGGUUUCUUGUUCUUCAUUGUUCUUCGAGGAUUGGAGACUAUUCUGGCAGUUCUGGGCUUCAAGCCGGCUUUGGGUGCAGCUUAGUGAAGCUUCAAGUUGAUUAAGAAGUUUUCUGGAUUAAGUCGACCAUCAAAAUCCAAUUUGGUCGACUAUGUUCAUUGUGUUCGUCGAGAAGGCUUCUGUGAAUUGAAAUGUCUAAGUGUGUCUGUAGGUAUUGUACACUGGUACGAGAUAGUGGAGGAUGAGACAUGGUGUGUGAUUCAGUGCGCAGACCACGACAAAGGCUUGGCCCUAGUGUGAGGAAAAUGAGAAUGGAACAAGG
This is a long non-coding RNA of Argentina anserina (silverweed cinquefoil), 651 nucleotides long. RefSeq lists it as uncharacterized. The record is from RefSeq and is a predicted model, not a curated record. NCBI's taxonomy places the organism in Eukaryota, Viridiplantae, Streptophyta, Magnoliopsida, Rosales, Rosaceae. The transcript has 3 exons.